This 188-nucleotide small nuclear RNA is filed under the name Laccaria amethystina LaAM-08-1. RNAcentral describes it as "U2 spliceosomal RNA". It matches the Rfam family "U2 spliceosomal RNA". Rfam says of the family: U2 is a small nuclear RNA (snRNA) component of the spliceosome (involved in pre-mRNA splicing). Complementary binding between U2 snRNA (in an area lying towards the 5' end but 3' to hairpin I) and the branchpoint sequence (BPS) of the intron results the bulging out of an unpaired adenosine, on the BPS, which initiates a nucleophilic attack at the intronic 5' splice site, thus starting the first of two transesterification reactions that mediate splicing. The record is from Rfam by way of RNAcentral. Lineage: Eukaryota; Fungi; Basidiomycota; Agaricomycetes; Agaricales; Hydnangiaceae.
UCACCACUCUGGCCUUUCGGCUUAGAUUUAGUGUAGUAUCUGUUCUUAAUAGUUUGACCACUAUUAUGGAGGCACAGCCUCUACUCCUGGUUAUCUAAUUUUUGUCGCCCCAGUUCUUUGUGCUCUGCUUGCACCGGUUGAGCGCGAUGGCCUUGCUUUUGCACUACUUGGUUGUGUUGUCAGGGGGU